RNAcentral lists this ribosomal RNA (253 nucleotides) under uncultured bacterium. RNAcentral describes it as "partial 16S ribosomal RNA". It matches the Rfam family "Bacterial small subunit ribosomal RNA", at positions 524 to 776 of the family's 1533-position model. The record is from RNAcentral.
UACGGAGGAUCCAAGCGUUAUCCGGCAUCAUUGGGUUUAAAGGGUCCGUCGGUGGGCCGUUAAGUCAGAGGUGACAUCCUGCAGCUCAACUGUAGAAUUGCCUUUGAUACUGGCGGCAUUGAAUUACUGUGAAGUGGUUAGAAUAUGUGGUGUAGCGGUGAAAUGCAUAGAUAUCACAUAGAAUACCGAUUGCGAAGGCAGAUCACUAACAGUACAUUGACACUGAUGGACGAAAGCGUGGGGAGCGAACAGG